Molecule: long non-coding RNA, 1492 nt
Organism: Anas platyrhynchos (mallard)
Lineage: Eukaryota; Metazoa; Chordata; Aves; Anseriformes; Anatidae
Source: RefSeq, a predicted model, not a curated record
ACAACAUCAACCUCGGGCUCUCCUGCCCCAGCAUGUCCUGGUGACACACUGCCACCACGGCCUGUGGGGCUGCACGAGUCCUGCCUGUGCCGUUAGCAUCCUCUCCCUUGGAGUGGCUCUGUGAUGAUCUGUGCAGCUCAGAUGGGAUGGCUGCGUUCCCGGGGAAAUAAGCCUAUCUGCAUUAGCCAGCACUCGGAUCCAGGAGGCAUUGUAAAAGGAUCAGCAUCAACCUGUGAGAGUCAACAGAGAGAGACUUCAGUGGACUAAUUAGCCAACUGGAAGAUGCCUGUGUCCCUUACUGAUGACGGAGCAUGUGCAGCAUGAUCAGACCCUGAAAUAGUGUUGAUAUAAAGAAGUAGAAGAACAGUUUGAUAUGAAUGAUCUGCAGAGAGUCUGGAAUGGUGAACAGUUUCAGCAGAAAGAGAGAGGUCAGCGUGCAUGAGCCCUGCCUCCACCUGCUCCAGAUCAACCCACUCACCUUCUACCUCUACAGACCUCCCUCACCAGGCCUUGCCUGAUCCAUUUGGAGUCUGCAACAACCUGCUGGUAUCUCUUUUUCCAGGCUCCAGAUGCUCCUGUAGCUCUGGUCCCAGAGCCCACUGCCAGCAUCCAUGCCCGGGCUCCCUACCCCAUGCCCACCCUACUGAGUGCGUCUCAUGGUCCUUGGGCCUGUCUCCAUGGCAGGCUCACCAUGAGGGGUAUGGAUACUUGCAUAUCUCCUCUUCAAGGCAAAUUACAGCAAAACAGGCUUUAGGCAGGCUGCCAGGGCUGCAUAUUUUGCACUCUUCACUCUGGGUUUAUUGCUGAUCAAAGCCGGUUGUCAGUACAACAGCCUUCACAAGAUCGAAGUGUCAUUUGGGAAAGGAAGUGUGUGUUUUUAACUCAAACCAAAGGCUGACAAAGAUGGCCUCUCAGGGUUGGACACAGCUGUUUCGCUGGGGCUUAGUCCUUUACGCUGUCCUGCAGAAGUCAGGGGGCCUGGAGUUCCUCAUUCACUACUGCUGUAUCAGCACUGAAGCCUGGAGGAGAGCACCUCUGGUCUCCCCAGGCCACAGUUCCUGACAGAAAAACUACAAGUGGUGUGGGGAGACAACACACGGCUGCACCUCAGCACUGCUGGUGCAGCGUGAAGGCUGAGCUACCAGUGUGUUACACAGGACCCAUGUUCGUGCUCGGUGUGAUUUGGGUCUGGCACCAGGACCCUGACAGAGCCUCACCGCCUGGUCCAGCUACAGCCUGGGUUUGGCUUGCUCAGGUUGCACAUCCCAGUUCCCAAAGAGAAGAGAGGCUGCUUGGAAAGGGACAGUGGCCAAAGUAUAAGAACACCUAAUAGUCUCAAAAAUGGUCGUGUUUCAAAUCUGCCUGAUGUUCCCACCGUCGGUUAUAUAAACACAGCAGCGUUGUUAUUGUAGGGCAGGCUAUUUUAAGACAGACAGACUAACAGAAUUGGAUUUCAACGUUCAGAGUCUUAUUUUUCCCAUUGCAUAUGUUA